Long non-coding RNA from Physeter macrocephalus (sperm whale), 4296 nucleotides. RefSeq lists it as uncharacterized. The record is from RefSeq and is a predicted model, not a curated record. Lineage: Eukaryota; Metazoa; Chordata; Mammalia; Artiodactyla; Physeteridae. The transcript is spliced from 5 exons.
GCAUGCACAGCCACAUGGAGCGGGUGACUGACAGCACGACAGGGAUCAUUCCGCUCGAGCCGGCAGAUCAUAGGCUCUAGCUGUUCAUCUCUCCCUCCGCCUUUCCUUCUGAAGCCUCAUUUUGGAUACAAACUAAAAUAUAACCUUCCUCCCUCCAUUUUUCUGCCUUGGUAUUCUCUAAACAAAAACAAAAGAGUGAUCAUCUCAGCAGAAAGGACUCAACUCUACUCAAGCUGAACUAAGCCAGGAAACGUCUUACAAGUGAACUCUCUAUACUAGUUCACUCGAUGUGUGUUUAAUGAGAAACGACGCUGCACCAAGUCCUCUUCUGUCACCAAGGAGCAGCAGGAGCAGAUGGGUGAAGUGUACGGUAUGUGAAUUAUACCUCAAUAGAGCUGCUACCAAACAAAGAAAACAAGAAAGAAGAGAUGGGAGAAGCAGACAGCCCCAAGAGCCAGGGCCAGGGAGGUCUGUGAGCCCUGCGAACUAGCUCUGGAGUAUGAGGCAGGGGCCAGGGCAAGACUGGGGGCAGCUGGGUAUAGGGCAGGUGGCCUGGACCCCCCCUGGGGACUUCCAGCCUGGACCGUGGGGUGUUGGCAGGAUCAUGAGGUCAGGAGCCAGCUCUCCAAGAUUCCAGUGAUGGCCUGGGCCCCAGAUUCCCCCUCCCUUAACAAAACCAGAGAGCAGACACAGUAAGGAAAGUCAGCCCCACUCCUGCUGUGCCACCAACAAGCACAGCACACACACUAAGAACCUUCCAGUAAGGACUCGCACCUUCCUGAAAUCAGGUGUCUGCGUCUGUCAUGAACGAAUCACCCAGGGUCCACAGCUCUGAGGACUGGAAGAGCCCACACAUUCUCGAGGACUGAGCUCUGCAUUUUCUAACUGAACAUCUUUGUGGCCUGCUGGCAGCAGCUCUUUCCCCACCGGUCACCUGGGACACUGAACUGAUGGUGCAGCAGGGGUGAGGGGUCCCGGGAUGCUCAAUGCGAUGGCCAGGGGAAGUCUGACCCAGGCGUGACACCCACCGUGGCAUCAUCCGAAGCUGCUGCAGAAGCAGAGACCCGGGCUCCAUCCUCGGCGUGACCCCCAGGGAGGGUCACCUCACCCUGCAGGAGCACCGCAGGGAAUGCCCUGGAGAGUGUCCCCAAUCUUAAGGGGCCAAAAGCAGAGUUGUCAAGAACUUCAGAGGAGAAUGAGCAGGGCCUGGUGACACCUGACAUGGGCACUGGGGUGACACGGACCAAGGGGAAUCCUCAGACUGCUGUCUAAAGCUGGGUGCAACCUUGGACUCAAGUGUUAGCAGUUAAUAUCCACAUCAUAUAAAGAACAGUCACAACUCAAGAAAGAAAAAGGAAAGCAACUCCAAAGAAAAAUGGGCAAAAGAGAGUUUUCUGAUGAAAACUGACUAUAGCUAAUAAACAUUUAAAAGAUGCUAAAAUUUCCAAGUAAUCAAUAGAAGUGAUAAGACAAGCUUUAUUCACCCAACAGAUUAAGAAAAAGACUAAGAAAGGUGAAAUCUAAUGCUGGUGAAAGUGUGUGGGGGAAGCAGGCCCCCCUGGGCCAGCGGGACAGCAUGUGUUAAACUCUGCAACGUGCAUACUCUGACCCAUCGAUUCCAGCUGGAGGCCUCCAGCCAGCUCCCAAAUGCACAGCAGUGAGCACAGGCACUCAAGGACAUUCACUGCAGCAGGAAAUCUACGGACAACCCAAAUGUCCUUCAAAAGAGGAACAAUUAGAUAAAUUAUUAAGUAAAUUAAACAACGCAGCAUCCACAGAAUAAGAUACUACGCAGGCAGAGAAGACUAAGUCGAAGGAGUACGUUAACAAUGGGCAUCUGGAGGAUGGGAUUUUAGGAGAAGACUUUCAAAUAACUUUGUGUUAUGUUAAAAUACAAAAAAAUCAGAAAAAAAAAUUCAAAGCAAACAGGUUGCUGAGUUGAUGGUAUGGACCCUUUUAGGUAAAAUAUAAAACCACGUCUCUGAGACAAACCUUUGUUCCCACAUCGGCCUGUAGCACAGACAGCUGGCCCUCAGCUGCAGGUCAACUUCUGCCCCGGCCCCUCCACCUGCCCUCCAAGUGGCAGCCAAAAUGGCAGCCUGAGGAGCCCCUCCAUCCCAGGACCAAAGGUAAUGCCUGAACAAGGCCUGGCAGCACACGCUGGCCUACCUCUCAGGAACCUCCCCCAACCCGCUGGUCUCAGGUCCCUCUCUCCUCCCACUCCCCACCCCCCAGCGCCCAGUUAACUCCUGGUCACGCAUCAGCAAUCCAUUUGUGAAGCUUAUUCUGGCCCUUCCCUUCCCAGUUUCCAUGGCUCAAGGUUUUCAUAAUACCCCGUGCUGUGCUUCAAAGAGCUCCUCUCUGUCUGAAAUUCAGUAUUUGUGUGACAUUACAUUAAUGUCUGUCCCCAGUUCUGAGUGCCACGAAAGCAGAGAAUCGGCGCUGCACCCAAACUCCCCAUAGCAUCUGCAGCAAAGCUGGGCGCGAUAUACACAAAAGCAGAGAGAAGAGUAGACUGUAUGCCCACAAAGCGGUCAUCCAGCUGCAAUAACUUGGCCGCUGCCAUCUGUCUAUCCACCCCCCACACCUUCUUCCUUCUUCUUGUUCUACUCAGGAAAGCUUCAGUACGUGCACGGAUGCUCUCUCACGCACACAAGUGCACGUAUAGAGGAGCUCUGUGUAGAUACUCAGGGGUCAUGGGGUACCCCGAACACACAACGAGCCUUCGUCACAGCCACCGUGAGUGCCACCCAGGCCUGUCUGCUCUGGGUCCCGGAGGCUGAGGCUGGACCCUUGGAAGGGCAGCCCCGCAGCUCAGGUGGUAAAGUUAUUUGGCCGCAAGCCGAGCACCUCCGAGCACAUCGCGCUGUCACACCCUUCCCGACCCGAACAAACACAAAGAGAUGCACCCCUUCGAGUCACCUACUUGGCUGAACUGUGCACCUGGUCACCCUCCGGGGAGCUUCCUUCGUGGGUAUUUUUCUCCCCUACACAAAGCGCGCCCACAGAGUAAAUGGAGGCCGACGAAAACAGGAAAGCCCGACCUUGCAGGGACUGAGGAGCCAAGGCCCCCAGAACACAGGGCUCACACUCGAAACUCAGACCCCAGAGAAGACAAACGAGGCCACAGGCUCCGUGUCCACUUGCAAAUUAAGAAAUACAGUAGGGAGGGUAAACCACAGCUACCAGAAGGAGCUGCUAGCCCUUACAGGUCAUGUAAUGAAAAGGGACAAAUGUGUUUAUCCUUAGCAGUCACAAGUCAUUUCACAGCUGUGACUUUCGGCAGCCACUGCUGUGGAGGCAGCACGGGCUUGUGGAACAUCUCCAUCACCAACUCAGGCAAAAGUCCCUAUUCCCGAGGUGCACUGUCUGAAGGAAAAACAAGUUAAAGUAAAAAGACUUUUUUAAUAGUCAAUAUUUUAAAACACAUGAAAGGUGGUUGUUAAAAGCCCGAUAAAAAAUUCAGAGAUUUAUUUGCGCCAGUGCCUUAUCCAGAUCACAGGGCUGCUUACACUGGACUCCCUCGGCCAGAUACACUGAGAGGGAAUGCAGCAGAGAAGCCCAGGCUGACAGGGUCUGUGGCCACACUGAACCAGCUCCCUCCUCCCCCAAUCGCCACCAAGCCGCAUCUCCACCGCCACCCCCCCACCCCUGAGACUGAGAGUGAUAGGCACUCAGUAGGAGAUGGUAACGGGAGGAAGGUGGACCUCAGCCUUCCUGGAUUAAGCCAGCAUCUGAGAAUCUCAGAGGUCUUUGCGUCACUGUAUCUUAUAUUUCAGGAAAAAAAUGAAUUUAGAAAACUUAUCUUCUACGCAGAUGCCAAAUCAUUUUCACAAGCGGUGAGUUUUCACUGCAGCACCAUCCUCCUGAACCGAGCCACCUUGGGAUGCCUCUCAGUUCCCUGGGUGUAGGCACCCCGCUGGCUGCAGAGCCUACCCUCAACCUCUGGCCAACGCCCAUUUCAGUAAACAGAGAAAACCCACCCGAUUUAGCCUGAACAAUAAGGAAUUAACGAGUCUACUCUGAAGAAUGGUGAGGACUUCCCUGGUGGAGCAGUGGUUAAGAAUCUGCCUGCCAAUGCAAGGGACACGGGUUCAAGUGUACUGUAGAGCAACUAAGCCUGCGAGCCACAACUACUGAGCCUGCGUGCCACAACUUCUGAAGCCCACGCGCAUAGAGCCCGUGCUCCGCAACGAGAGAAGCCACCACAAUGAGAAGGCCGUGCACCACAACCAAGAGUAGCCCCCGCUCGCCGCAACUAGAGAAAGCCCAUGCACAGCAAUGAAGACCCAACUC